This 72-nucleotide transfer RNA is filed under the name Candidatus Taylorbacteria bacterium RIFCSPLOWO2_12_FULL_47_20. RNAcentral's name for it is "tRNA-Cys". It matches the Rfam family "tRNA". Rfam says of the family: Transfer RNA (tRNA) molecules are approximately 80 nucleotides in length. Their secondary structure includes four short double-helical elements and three loops (D, anti-codon, and T loops). The record is from RNAcentral. Lineage: Bacteria; Candidatus Tayloriibacteriota.
GGCCUAGUAGCCAAGUGGUAAGGCAGGGGUCUGCAAAACCCCUAUACGUGGGUUCGAUUCCCGCCUAGGCCU